GAUGAACGCUGGCGGCGUGCUUAACACAUGCAAGUCGAACGGAAAGGCUCCUGCUUGCAGGGGUACUCGAGUGGCGAACGGGUGAGUAACACGUGGGUGAUCUGCCCUGCACUUCGGGAUAAGCCUGGGAAACUGGGUCUAAUACCGGAUAGGACGAUGGUUUGGAUGCCAUUGUGGAAAGUUUUUUCGGUGUGGGAUGAGCUCGCGGCCUAUCAGCUUGUUGGUGGGGUAAUGGCAUACCAAGGCGUCGACGGGUAGCCGGCCUGAGAGGGUGUACGGCCACAUUGGGACUGAGAUACGGCCCAGACUCCUACGGGAGGCAGCAGUGGAGAAUAUUGCACAAUGGGCGCAAGCAUGAUGCAGCGACGCCGCGUGGGGGAUGACGGCCUUCGGGUUGUAAACUCCUUUCGCUAGGGACGAAGCGCAAGUGACGGUACCUGGAGAAGAAGCACCGGCUAACUACGUG
RNAcentral lists this ribosomal RNA (466 nucleotides) under uncultured bacterium. Its description in RNAcentral is "partial 16S ribosomal RNA". It matches the Rfam family "Bacterial small subunit ribosomal RNA", at positions 28 to 507 of the family's 1533-position model. The record is from RNAcentral.